UGAAAAGUCUUUCCUAAAGAUUUGUGACUUGCUCAUGUCCAGAGGACUGACAGCUUUAAGUAAAAAUGAAAACUUCCAUAGAUGCAGAUCUUAGCUCAUUUCUAGCCUUAUCCAUCCAGGGUGUCUGGACAAAUUAAUUAGAGUGUUACAUGUGAGUGCCUUUUCCCUGUUAAGAAGUGCCUCUUCCUCUACUAUCUUCUGUUAUCCUCCUAGAAAUUCUAUAAAGGGGGAACACUAUCCCAGUUCUGCUACUCUAAGGAUCUAUCUCCUGUGCCUCCUAGGUUAGCUCUGGGCUCACAGAGAACACCUGCUCCGCAUCUAAUUGCUUCUGACACUAACAUGAGAGUAGAAUGUCCCUUGGUCUGAGUAUUAGCUUAAAUUUUCUAAAUUGUUUGCUGUUCCUUGUUAAUAUUUUCAAAUAUACUUUCUUCAGAGUCUUUUCUUAGUGAAAAUUAGGAGUUCAAAGACAGAAAUGCUAAUUAUAGCUUCUCUUUGCUU
Molecule: long non-coding RNA, 498 nt
Filed under: Bos taurus (domestic cattle)
Lineage: Eukaryota; Metazoa; Chordata; Mammalia; Artiodactyla; Bovidae
Description: long non-coding RNA NONBTAT022115
Source: RNAcentral